GGAUUAGAUACCCUGGUAGUCCACGCCCUAAACGAUGGGUACUAAGUGUCGGCGGGUUACCGCCGGUGCCGCACCUAACGGAGUAAGUACCCCGCCUGGGGAGUACGGCCGCAAGGUUGAAACUCAAAGGAAUUGACGGGGGCCCGCACAAGCGGUGGUGCAUGUGGUUUAAUUCGACGCAACGCGAAAAACCUUACCCAGGCUUGACAUGCUAGUGGUAAGAACCGGAAACGGGGAUGACCCUGAAAGGGGAGCUAGCACAGGUGCUGCAUGGCUGUCGUCAGCUCGUGUCG
RNAcentral lists this ribosomal RNA (293 nucleotides) under uncultured bacterium. RNAcentral's name for it is "partial 16S ribosomal RNA". It matches the Rfam family "Bacterial small subunit ribosomal RNA", at positions 775 to 1067 of the family's 1533-position model. The record is from RNAcentral.